GUGGGCAACCUGCCUGUAAGACUGGGAUAACUUCGGGAAACCGAAGCUAAUACCGGAUAGGAUCUUCUCCUUCAUGGGAGAUGAUUGAAAGAUGGUUUCGGCUAUCACUUACAGAUGGGCCCGCGGUGCAUUAGCUAGUUGGUGAGGUAACGGCUCACCAAGGCAACGAUGCAUAGCCGACCUGAGAGGGUGAUCGGCCACACUGGGACUGAGACACGGCCCAGACUCCUACGGGAGGCAGCAGUGGUCAUAGCU
Molecule: ribosomal RNA, 255 nt
Filed under: Bacillus sp. TK2.2
Lineage: Bacteria; Bacillati; Bacillota; Bacilli; Caryophanales; Bacillaceae
Description: partial 16S ribosomal RNA
Rfam family: Bacterial small subunit ribosomal RNA
Source: RNAcentral